UUCAAAACUCCAAGACCCAUCUCCGUUGAAGUAUGUAAAAUUUGGAAUAAAUGUAUGAUUGAGUGUGUUUUCCAGCUACGUCCUUUGGUGCUUUAAGAGUUGACAAAAAUUAAAACAAUGUAAAAAUGUAAGAUAAAAGGAUGAAAGAAAACGAAAAAGGGAACAGAGAAUAGGGGAAUUGGGGACGAAGAAUACUGGGAGGGAAAGGAAAAGAGAUAGGUUCCUGGU
Molecule: long non-coding RNA, 228 nt
Filed under: Nicotiana benthamiana
Lineage: Eukaryota; Viridiplantae; Streptophyta; Magnoliopsida; Solanales; Solanaceae
Description: long non-coding RNA (NBEN_LNC022880)
Source: RNAcentral